GUUAACUAUCCGGGCUUGCUGCGGAAAAUACUCAUUAUAAUCACCACCUCUUUUCUGUAUAGCAUAAUUAGUGAGACUAUGAGCCAAAUAUUGAAUCCACUUUUCUACUAUAUUUAUUUUUAUAUUAGCAUUUCAUAUUAUUGCUAUUUUUGUUCGAAUUUGCGGUCAUUUUCUAUAGAGUAUUGGUCAUGUUAUACUAUACUAGUAAAAAAAGUUGGUAACUUGAGCCUUACAAACUAUUAUUAUUAUUAUUUGCUAACCCCUUUGAGCCUCCAUGCAAUAAUUUAUUUUGUUAUCACUAAGUGACAAAUCAUGUCAUAAGUUUUUAACCUUAAUGUCACCUAUUUGAUUUCUUUUGGAGUUGGAUAUAAUAUUUUUAAUAAAUUGGUAUGAUUUGAAAUUAAGUUUGAGUUUGCUCUUUGAAAUUAGCAAUAUUUUAAGUUUUUGGUGAGGUAUCAGUAGAACUUAUUUAUCAAAAAUGAAAAAAUGUAGAUAAAACCAUAUAAAAAUAUGGGUUUACACAAAAAAAAUAUAUAUAUAUAAUCAAGAGUCAAAAACAUCAAAAUUUUGGUCUCUUAAAAAAAAUGUAUUUAUCUUCAAAAAUGAAAGAUAAAGAGUUCUACUUAAUUAAUACCCACAUUGUUUUGGUUUAAGGAAGGAAAGUUUGAAAUGCUUCAAUAUUUAGUAGGAAUCUAUAUGUUGGAAAUCUAACUUCAAGUUGUGUUGUUAGCCUACUUUUUCAAAUAUAUCUCACCUUGUCUAAGCAAAUAUAUAACUCUAUUUAUGACAGAUUCAACUUGUGGCUUUUCAUUAUCUCUAGCAACUUGAGAAAGCAUAGUCCUUUCAAUGCUUCAACUGUCAAUGUCAAUGAGUCAAUGCUGACCUAUGAAGUACAUACGCUUCUCGGCUUAGACGUGCCCCAUGGUAAGAUAUGCGUGGUGUUCGACACCGACACAUAUUAUUACAUUGAAUUAUGUGAUUUUCUUAAAUUAUUAUUUAGGUCGGUAUGUCAGUGUCCGGUGUCCGUGUCUGUGCUUAAUAGAUGCUAACACAGAUGGUGAUAUGCAGGUUUUGGAUAGCAUGAAGGUUAAUGAUUACAUUUGGGAGUACCUUGAGUUUGGAGUGGUGAUGAAAGCAUAUAGUGUCUUUACAGAUGCAAGGUUUACUAAGAUCUCACCUGGAAAGUAAAUUAACUCAUCAUUCUUCAAGAAAUGUAGUGUUUCAAGACUAUCAAAUUUCUGAAUUGAUCUUAGUAAAUCUUGAUUGUAUUUCCAUUCUAUUUACAAACCAAUGCUUUGUUCUAUACAAGUUCAGUUCAGUAACACCGCUUGAUAUAUUCAAAGACUCAAAUGAUUGUUUACUCAUUAUGUAUUUACAUAUCUUGAAAUAUAAAUAAAUACCAAAUAAAACUAAUAAGAGUUUUGUCAUGAGGUGUCUAUACAAAGCAUUAUAGUAAAAUAGUUCAUUAAAGACAAGUUUAGAGACACAUCUUUAUCAGUGCAGGGUAGUGUGUACCUGAUAAAUGGAGUCAUCCGCCGAUUAAUGGUGCACCCUAUACGGAGGACCCUGCGAAACAUGUAUAGGCCCCAUAACAUCGACCACCACGUCCACCAUAUCCUACUUUCCUACUUUCUAUUUCAAUACGCUGAACAUGGGCUAUUUUUAACCAGUCCUCGCCUAUUUCCUUUUGGCAUCGCUUCUCUAUUUGAGGGCAGCAUUGAAUACACAAUCUUUUUAGACUGCUAAGAUAUCGGAUGCUCGCCGGAAGACAGCUCAAAUUAGGACACACAAGAAUAAUUAAUUCCUGAAGUAAGGAAAGGUUUCCCAAACAGUCAGGCAAAUAUUCUAGUUUUGGAAGUUCAGACAAUAUUAUGCAUUGCAGAGAAGUCAUAUGUUGCAAAGCCUCGUGCAAACUUUCUACUUCCGGACAACUAGCAAUCACCAAUGUCUCUAGACAAGUUAGGUAUUGAAAACCUUCUGACAGAUUAAACUUGUGGCACUUCACUAUCUCUAGCAACUUGAGAGAGGAUAGUCCUUUCAAUACUUCAUCUGUCAAUGACUCAAUAGUGACACAGUUGGUAAUAUACAGGUGUUGGAGAGAAUGAAGGUCAAUGAUUUCAUUUGGGAGUACCUCGAGUUUGGAGUGGUGAUGAAAGCCUAAUGUCCUUACAGAUGCAAGGUUUAGUAAGAUCUCAUCUGGAAAGUAAGUUAACUCAUCAUUCUUCAAAAAAUGCAGCGUUUCAA
This 2244-nucleotide long non-coding RNA is filed under the name Medicago truncatula (barrel medic). RNAcentral describes it as "long non-coding RNA (MTRU_LNC003106)". The record is from RNAcentral. Lineage: Eukaryota; Viridiplantae; Streptophyta; Magnoliopsida; Fabales; Fabaceae.